RNAcentral lists this ribosomal RNA (119 nucleotides) under Beta vulgaris subsp. vulgaris (sugar beet). Lineage: Eukaryota; Viridiplantae; Streptophyta; Magnoliopsida; Caryophyllales; Amaranthaceae. The record is from RNAcentral.
GGGUGCGAUCAUACCAGCACUAAUGCUCCGGAUCCCAUCAGAACUCCGCAGCUAAGCGUGCUUGGGCGAGAGUAGUACUAGGAUGGGUGACCUCCUGGGAAGUCCUCGUGUUGCACCCC